This 465-nucleotide ribosomal RNA is filed under the name Vreelandella stevensii. RNAcentral describes it as "partial 16S ribosomal RNA". It matches the Rfam family "Bacterial small subunit ribosomal RNA", at positions 338 to 795 of the family's 1533-position model. Lineage: Bacteria; Pseudomonadati; Pseudomonadota; Gammaproteobacteria; Oceanospirillales; Halomonadaceae. The record is from RNAcentral.
CCUACGGGGGGCAGCAGUGGGGAAUAUUGGACAAUGGGGGGAACCCUGAUCCAGCCAUGCCGCGUGUGUGAAGAAGGCCCUCGGGUUGUAAAGCACUUUCAGUGAGGAAGAACGCCUGGUGGUUAAUACCCAUCAGGAAAGACAUCACUCACAGAAGAAGCACCGGCUAACUCCGUGCCAGCAGCCGCGGUAAUACGGAGGGUGCGAGCGUUAAUCGGAAUUACUGGGCGUAAAGCGCGCGUAGGUGGCUUGAUAAGCCGGUUGUGAAAGCCCCGGGCUCAACCUGGGAACGGCAUCCGGAACUGUCAAGCUGGAGUGCAGGAGAGGAAGGUAGAAUUCCCGGUGUAGCGGUGAAAUGCGUAGAGAUCGGGAGGAAUACCAGUGGCGAAGGCGGCCUUCUGGACUGACACUGACACUGAGGUGCGAAAGCGUGGGUAGCAAACAGGAUUAGAUACCCUAGUAGUC